This 253-nucleotide ribosomal RNA is filed under the name uncultured bacterium. Its description in RNAcentral is "partial 16S ribosomal RNA". It matches the Rfam family "Bacterial small subunit ribosomal RNA", at positions 524 to 776 of the family's 1533-position model. The record is from RNAcentral.
GACGUAGGGCGCGAGCGUUGUCCGGAUUUAUUGGGCGUAAAGAGCUCGUAGGCGGUUUGUCGCGUCUGCUGUGAAAACCUGAGGCUUAACCUCGGGCUUGCAGUGGGUACGGGCAGACUAGAGUGCGGUAGGGGUGACUGGAAUUCCUGGUGUAGCGGUGGAAUGCGCAGAUAUCAGGAGGAACACCGAUGGCGAAGGCAGGUCACUGGGCCGCAACUGACGCUGAGGAGCGAAAGCAUGGGGAGCGAACAGG